GAUAUGGCUCAGAACGAACGCUGGCGGCGCGUUUAAGCAUGCAAGUCGAGCGGCAAGGGCCUUCGGGCCCCUAGAGCGGCGGACGGGUGAGUAACACGUGGACAAUCUGCCCCCCGGCCCGGGAUAGCCCAGGGAAACCUGGAUUAAUACCGGAUGAGACGGGACCCGCGAUGGCGGGAUCCGGGAAAGGCGCUGCGGCGCCGCCGGGGGAUGAGUCUGCGUCCCAUUAGCUGGACGGCGGGGUAACGGCCCACCGUGGCGACGAUGGGUAGCCGGCCUGAGAGGGUGGACGGCCACAUUGGAACUGAGACACGGUCCAGACUCCUACGGGAGGCAGCAGCUAAGAAUCUUCCGCAAUGGACGAAAGUCUGACGGAGCAACGCCGCGUGAGUGAAGAAAGGUUUUCGGAUCGUAAAACUCUGUUGUCAGAGAAGAACAAGUUGGAGAGUAACUGCUCCAGCCUUGACGGUAUCUGACCAGAAAGCCACGGCUAACUACGUGCCAGCAGCGGC
RNAcentral lists this ribosomal RNA (512 nucleotides) under uncultured bacterium. Its description in RNAcentral is "bacterial SSU rRNA". It matches the Rfam family "Bacterial small subunit ribosomal RNA", at positions 15 to 518 of the family's 1533-position model. The record is from RNAcentral.